GGGUUUGAGGGAGUCUGACGGACUUUUAAUCCGAAGGUCGUGGGUUCGAGCCCCACAGGGGGUACCA
RNAcentral lists this transfer RNA (67 nucleotides) under Actinomyces urogenitalis. Its description in RNAcentral is "tRNA-Lys". It matches the Rfam family "tRNA", at positions 9 to 71 of the family's 71-position model. Rfam says of the family: Transfer RNA (tRNA) molecules are approximately 80 nucleotides in length. Their secondary structure includes four short double-helical elements and three loops (D, anti-codon, and T loops). The record is from RNAcentral. Lineage: Bacteria; Bacillati; Actinomycetota; Actinomycetes; Actinomycetales; Actinomycetaceae.